Wyeomyia smithii (pitcher-plant mosquito) is the source of this 676-nucleotide long non-coding RNA. RefSeq lists it as uncharacterized. The record is from RefSeq and is a predicted model, not a curated record. The transcript has 3 exons. Lineage: Eukaryota; Metazoa; Arthropoda; Insecta; Diptera; Culicidae.
UAGAGUUCUUUUACACUUGUGCUACCAUCAAAGAAAGGUCGAAUGUGCCAAGAGUUAAGUGGCCUGAAAAUAAAGUUCAAUUUAUUAAAAGAAAAUAGAAGAUACUCCUCUACUAUUACGACAGUGCAGCAAAUUGUGCUAAUUUUCGGAGAAUUGUCGAAUCAGGACCCGGAAUUAUACCUUAGAUACAGAUCGGAAGUAAGCGGUUACCAGCAGCCGACUUGGUGGCAAAUACUCCCUCGGUCCGGUUUCACGGGACGGGUUAAGCUGAUUAGGCCACGAGAGCCUUAUUCCGCCCAGGAAACGCACCGGAGAUGGGACAGCGUAAACCCCUAGCCCAUUAGAGCGGGAAUAAACCGUUCCCCAAGUACCCAGCCACAGCAGCAGAGUCCGAUCAACGGCAGCAGAGGCAGCGGCAGCGUUAACCGCUGCGUGAACGAGCCAAGCAGCCUAAAAGUCCAGCAGCAACGAGCAUCGUCAGCACCCGAAGCAACAGAAGCAGCAGUGAAAGCCCGGCCGGCACAGUAAGACUUGCGAUCGUCCCUUCGAUGUCAGAGCCGACCCUGAGAGCGAGAAAGCAGCUCACGGCCGUGCUAGCCGUUUAAAAGAGGCUAGUGUUGCCCACCCUCACUAGAUCGCCGAUGGUGUUGCCCAGCGAUCGAGGUUUAGUUUUGGU